UGAGUGUCUACUGUUCCUCGGCCAUGCAC
This 29-nucleotide non-coding RNA is filed under the name Mus musculus (house mouse). Lineage: Eukaryota; Metazoa; Chordata; Mammalia; Rodentia; Muridae. The record is from RNAcentral.